AGAGUUUGAUCCUGGCUCAGGACGAACGCUGGCGGUGUGCUUCACACAUGCAAGUCGAACGGAGUAGCAAUACUCAGUGGCGGACGGGUGAGUAACACGUGGGAAUCUACCAUUAGAUGGGGAAUAACAGGCCGAAAGGACUGCUAAUGCCGCAUAUGUAUUAACCUCGACAGGGGUGAAUAUGAAAGGAGUAAUCCGUCUGAUGAUGAGCCCGCGUCCGAUUAGCUAGUUGGUAAGGUAAAAGCUUACCAAGGCGACGAUCGGUAGGUGGUCUGAGAGGAUGAUCACCCACAAUGGGACUGAGACACGGCCCAUACUCCUACGGGAGGCAGCAGUGGGGAAUUUUGUGCAAUGGGGGAAACCCUGACACAGCGACACCGCAUGAGCGAAGAAGCCCCUUGGGGUGUAAAGCUCUGUCAACGGGAACGAAAAAAAUGACGGUACCCGUGGAGGAAGCAUCGGCUAACUACGUGCCAGCAGCCGCGGUAAGACGUAGGAUGCAAGCGUUGUCCGGAUUUAUUGGGCGUAAAGAGUUCGUAGGCUGUUUGUUAAGUCUGAUGUUAAAGACCGGGGCUCAACCUCGGAAAUGCAUUGGAUACUGGCAGACUGGAGUGCAGUAGAGGCUAGUGGAAUUCCCAGUGUAGCGGUGAAAUGCGUAGAUAUUGGGAAGAACACCGGUGGCGAAGGCGGGUCUCUGGGCAGUAACUGACGCUGAGGAGCGAAAGCGUGGGGAGCGAACAGGAUUAGAUACCCUGGUAGUCC
RNAcentral lists this ribosomal RNA (762 nucleotides) under uncultured bacterium. Its description in RNAcentral is "bacterial SSU rRNA". It matches the Rfam family "Bacterial small subunit ribosomal RNA", at positions 8 to 796 of the family's 1533-position model. The record is from RNAcentral.